This 167-nucleotide ribosomal RNA is filed under the name uncultured bacterium. RNAcentral's name for it is "partial 16S ribosomal RNA". It matches the Rfam family "Bacterial small subunit ribosomal RNA", at positions 1336 to 1500 of the family's 1533-position model. The record is from RNAcentral.
UAGUAAUCGCAGAUCAGCAUGCUGCGGUGAAUACGUUCCCGGGCCUUGUACACACCGCCCGUCACACCAUGGGAGUUGGAAACGCCCGAAGUCAGUGACCCAACUGUUAAAAGAGGGAGCUGCCGAAGGCGGGGCCGAUAACUGGGGUGAAGUCGUAACAAGGUAUC